This 901-nucleotide long non-coding RNA is filed under the name Homo sapiens (human). Its description in RNAcentral is "HSALNT0007706". The record is from RNAcentral. Lineage: Eukaryota; Metazoa; Chordata; Mammalia; Primates; Hominidae.
UGGCCAUUCUAUGUGUCAUGGAUUGGGUUGCCCAAAGCACUGGGGCUGAGUUCCAAGGAAUAGUAUUACAAAGACCCACACGAAAGCUUCAGCUUCUUGUGAGCUUGCCCUGGCUCACAGAUCAUUAUUUUUCCCACGUUCUGGUGGUCAGGUAAGUCACUGAAGCCAGCCCAGAGUCAAAGGGAAGACUUAAGUUAACUUCACCUCUUGAUGUAGGAACUGGGAGCAGUCAUCUGUGGAUACUACCAACCACAAAGCACAUGGCAUACCAUACACACAAUGAAUAUCAGUUCACUCUGCCCAAUUUUUACUUUAACUCAUUACUUUUAAAAAACCUUCAAAUAUGUAUUUUUAGAAAGUUCAAGCUGAGCAAAAUUGGACUUUAAAAAUGGUCUAAGAGAGUCUUUUCUUAUUCUACAGAUGGGAAAACUGGAGCCCAAAGGAUGGAAAUACUGAACCCAUGGGCUCUGUCACUAGACUGCAUCCCAGGGCCUCAACAUAAUAUAUUCUUAAUCAUACUGGGGUAACCUAUUAGAAAGAACCCUGUCCUGGAAUCCUGGAAAAGAGGCCCUGCUAGGAGCUGACCUUGGACAAAUCACUCCCUUCUCUGAACCUCACUGUUCAGGGGGCUGAGAACAGAGGGUCCCUAAGGAAGAGUGUUGUAUGAGAACAGUCUCCGCUCUUGACCCAAGCAAACCUGGCUUCAAAUCUCAACUCCUGUGGCUGACUAGCUGUAUGACCUUGACCUUUCUCAGUUUCCUCAUCUAUAAAGCAGGAUUAAUAAAAGGUACCUAUCUAAUAUGACUGUUCUGAGAAUAAAAUGAAAUAAACUACAUAGGUGAUUUGACAUUGUGCUUGGUUUACAGUAGGUGUUUAAUAAAAGGAAAUUGCUAUAUUAUUA